RNAcentral lists this ribosomal RNA (450 nucleotides) under uncultured bacterium. Its description in RNAcentral is "partial 16S ribosomal RNA". It matches the Rfam family "Bacterial small subunit ribosomal RNA", at positions 338 to 795 of the family's 1533-position model. The record is from RNAcentral.
CCUACGGGUGGCUGCAGUGGGGAAUAUUGGGCAAUGGGCGAAAGCCUGACCCAGCGACGCCGCGUGGGUGAUGAAGGCCUUCGGGUUGUAAAGCCCUUUCGUGUGGAAAGAACAGUCCCACGACUAAUACUCGUGGGAUUUGACGGUACCACAGGAAGAAGCACCGGCUAACUCCGUGCCAGCAGCCGCGGUAAUACGGAGGGUGCGAGCGUUGUUCGGAAUUACUGGGCGGAAAGGGCGAGUCGGGUGUGAAAUCCUUCGGCUUAACCGGAGAACUGCAUCUGAAACUUCACAACUAGAGUACAGGAGAGGGAAACGGAAUUCCCGGUGUAGAGGUGAAAUUCGUAGAUAUCGGGAGGAACACCAGUGGCGAAGGCGGUUUCCUGGCCUGAUACUGACGCUGAGGCGCGAAAGCGUGGGGAGCAAACAGGAUUAGAUACCCUUGUAGUC